Eremothecium gossypii ATCC 10895 is the source of this 424-nucleotide small nuclear RNA. The record is from RefSeq. NCBI's taxonomy places the organism in Eukaryota, Fungi, Ascomycota, Saccharomycetes, Saccharomycetales, Saccharomycetaceae.
AAAAACGAGUCUGAUCGAGGGAGACUUCGACUACUAUUGCAAUAUCUUGAGGGUUUUCGUGAACGGACGUCAACUCGGCCCGCCGGGUCUCGGGUGGCGCGCUCAAUUUCCUUGGUUUCUGCGGUGCCUCCUUGCUUGUAGCAUAUCUGAACAGUUCCCAGGGGAACGAAGGAAAGCGUGGAGAGCAAGCCGGGAACGGCUUGAGGGCAUAGCCACAUGCAGGUUAUCAAACGGCGGAUCUUAUUGCCAACACGAAAAUACAAAUAGAUCUACCUUAAAAAUAAACAAUCAGGGACAUUGGCUACGGGUGAGUGACACGGCGCCGAUUAGUAACUGGAAAUAAACUCGCAAAUUACUUAGAUCGUUUUUGUUCCGAUCCUAUAACAGAAAUACAACAAUUAGCAGGAAGAGAUAGGGAGUAGUU